RNAcentral lists this long non-coding RNA (577 nucleotides) under Monodelphis domestica (gray short-tailed opossum). RNAcentral describes it as "lncRNA (ENSMODG00000044122.1)". Lineage: Eukaryota; Metazoa; Chordata; Mammalia; Didelphimorphia; Didelphidae. The record is from RNAcentral.
AAAAAAGCCAACUUGUUCUUUUUCUCCUUUACUACUACUAAUAUAACCAGAUUGAAACUUUAAGUAAAAGAUACACAAUCGGUAUACGAGGCUCCAGCUCCUUCUGAGAAGUUCGGGAUCCAUAAAUCAUUUUUCUUUCCUCUUAGCUGAAUUGCUGUGGAUUUAACAACUAUACUGACUUCAAUGGCUCCAAAUACCAGGAUCAAAAUGGUGGCUUUUAUCCUGUCUUUUGCUGCAAAGGAAAUUUUCUUUGCCGGGAGCCUGACAUUGCUGAUGACAAGAAGGGAUGCUUGUAUAAACUGAAGAGAUCCCUGCAAAAGAACAAAAAGUUGAUUGGAGGUGUUGGUUUGGGAAUUUUAAUCUUUGAGGUAUUUGUUUUCUUCUUACAAAAUUUUGUCUGUGUUUGCCAAAGAAAAUUUUGGAGACAUGUUUAGUUGGAGACCUUAGGAAUGGGACCAUUGAUUUUCUGCCUUGUACUUAUGAAAUUUCCAGUGGCACUGAAAGGAUAGGAGCUGGAACUUCAGAUUAGUACUGACAGCUUCUCUAGGAUGGAGAAAUAAACCAAAUAAAGUGGGAU